Long non-coding RNA from Haliotis rubra (blacklip abalone), 97 nucleotides. RefSeq lists it as uncharacterized. NCBI's taxonomy places the organism in Eukaryota, Metazoa, Mollusca, Gastropoda, Lepetellida, Haliotidae. The record is from RefSeq and is a predicted model, not a curated record. The transcript has 3 exons.
GUGUAUGUGCUGUUGUUUGUACUUCCAGACUGAUGUCAGUUUUAUAGUGCCAGCCCACUAAGAUACCAUGCAGCAGUAUAGCAUGGAUACCCAACUC